This 489-nucleotide long non-coding RNA is filed under the name Vigna radiata. RNAcentral's name for it is "long non-coding RNA (VRAD_LNC005568)". Lineage: Eukaryota; Viridiplantae; Streptophyta; Magnoliopsida; Fabales; Fabaceae. The record is from RNAcentral.
CAUUUUAAAAUAAAAUAUAAUUUAUAAUUUUUGUGUUUUAAUCACUAUCAUUAUAUCAUUCUUUUUUAUUUUACUCUCUAAUGACAUCAUGAGUUGACUAACACUUUAAAUAAUGUUCAGUAUUGAGUUGACAAUUUUAUUCGCAACCUUAACUUUUAGUUUCUCCUUUAGCUGCUUCCACCUUAGAACAACCUAAACUUCCUCAACAGAUAGAGUCUCUCUUACAUACAGCAGGAUUUCUAUGAAAUGAUUACUCGCCUAGAAAAUAAACACCACAAUAGCAGCAUUUAAUCCUUAUCAUCAAUAUUCUUCAUAUCUAGGAUAAACUUGUUCAAUCCAUAUAGUUCUUUUCUAAAGGAUGGUCAUGGAAUGGAUUUUUCAAAGUCCAAUCUAGAUCUUAUAAAAUAUAUUGUAUUUAUAAUCCAGAUUUUUUUAAUUAGAUUAAUUAGACCUAGAUUUUUUUAAGCUAAUUUAAAUUGGAUUAAAUCU